This 200-nucleotide ribosomal RNA is filed under the name uncultured bacterium. RNAcentral describes it as "partial 16S ribosomal RNA". It matches the Rfam family "Bacterial small subunit ribosomal RNA", at positions 8 to 221 of the family's 1533-position model. The record is from RNAcentral.
AGAGUUUGAUCCUGGCUCAGAACGAACGCUGGCGGCAUGCCUAAAACAUGCAAGUCGAACGGUGGCUUCGGCCACAGUGGCGCACGGGUGAGGAACGCGUGGGAACCUGCCUCUUGGUACGGAAUAGCUCCGGGAAACUGGGGAUAAUACCGUAUGGUCCUGAUAGCUGUAGUGGUUAUUAGGUAAAGAUUUAUCGCCGA